Molecule: long non-coding RNA, 2943 nt
Filed under: Homo sapiens (human)
Lineage: Eukaryota; Metazoa; Chordata; Mammalia; Primates; Hominidae
Description: non-protein coding lnc-THOC3-2:12
Source: RNAcentral
GCCGCUGUGUUGGAACUGCCAGCUAGACUGCUCACCAAAAUGGGAGGCAGCCUCUGCUGCUGUGGUGAAGGUGAAGACACACUCAGCGAUUCAGCUCUACAGUAUGCACUCUGGGAUCUCCCAUUUGCUAAGGAAGGAUCUUAGCUUUGAGAAAGGUGUCAAGCCUGUGGCAGCAGAGCUUCCUGGGGAGUCCUCAGAGCAAGUCAUUGCCAUUGUCGAAGUGUCUUCUAGGCUUUAUUUUGGGGCCAUUACCUCGAGCACUGUUUCUUGUCUGGUUUCCUAAUGUCAGCAACUGAAGAAAAGACCUGUAUACACAGGACACAGCAUGGUCUGACGCUCACAGUGUUUUCCUUUCUCUCUGCAGAGGGAUUCAGCACUUUGGGCAAGUGGUUGCACAGAGGAUCCCGUGGAAGAAUUCAUAUAUGAAUCAGAUGAGAAUGCCCCAGGACCAUCGUAGGUCAGGCCACCUGCUUUUGUCAAAGAAAAAAGAUAACCCCUAUUUGAAUUAAAAUAUGAGAAUCUGACCAUAUGUAUCAUAGGUGACUUACACAGUGUCCUUGGUAAGGAGAAUUUAGAGUGAGAGUCUGUUCCCCACUGAGGUUUGAUUUAAGAUGGCAGAAGAAAAUGACAUCAUCAGCCACUCAGCAGCUUGAUUCUCUCCUUGGGGCAAAAUCACUUAAUUGCCAAGCAACAUGGACUUACAGGAAACAUCCUCCAAUAAAAACUUAGGUUUUUAGCAUGAUUCGGUAUGUCCUGUUCUUAUUUUGGGUGCUUUUGGGUGGUCUCAUCGUGACAGUCAAUGUCCUGGGUCUUCAGUGUCUAUAAAGUCCCCCUGCAGCCCUCCUGCCCGCUGUCUUGGCAUUGCCUCCAUUCCUGGUCCCCAGGCUGCAGCGUUGAAUCCUGUUGAGCAACCCCACAGGGUUUAGGAAGGGAGCCCGGCUGAGGUCAGAAGAGUUGGCGCCACCCUGCAGGAAGGGUUCCCAGUGACGUCUGGGUCUGCUGUGGCCGCCCCCCUCCGCCCCGGGGCUUUUGCUGCACUGGGGUCUCUGGACAUGCGCACUUGUUGUCUUCCUCCCAGAUACCAACAAGCCCUCUCCCGGCACCUGCAGAAAAAGUGGGGAAAAUCCCCGAAGAGGCAGAAACGUGAGUGUGCAGGGGCGGCAUGACCAGGGGAAGGCAGACAAUGCCUGUGUGCCCAUGGCUGCCCUCAUUCUCUUGUUGUCCCAUCAGAAAACCUAGUGAGCUGAAGGAUGAGGCUGCUGAAGAGCCUGAGCUCACUUGUUGUGGCCUUUGUACUUAUGCUGGAAAUCCCUAAAGGCAAGUGAAGGAUGCCCUGAGAACAUCCUCCAGGGAGCAGACAGCCUCUCCAUAGCAGCCCCUGAGCCCACCGGGCUGAGCCUUCCAUAGGCUGCUUUAAUGAGGGAGGGGCUGAGGUGCUGGUCAGGCUACCAGAUGCAGGAUUCUGAGGGCCAUGCAGCGCGUUCCUGUCUGCAGUGCCACUUAAGCUCAUUUGAGGGGACCCAGCCCUGCCCUCCAUGUCCCCAGAAGACAACAGGGAGGGAGCUUCACCAAUUCAACAUGAGCAGCCACUGGGUUGAUCAUGAAUCCCCCUGUUGCAUGCCUGCUGGGAAAGGUGUGAGAGGGAGGGAGGCAGCCCCAGGCUUCUUGCCACACAAGCAGCCCACCCAGCCCAGCAUUGCACACCUGCGGGCACUCAGUAGGUCCUGGCAUCAAGAAGGGGAAAGGCCAGGAUCCAAGACCCGCUGGGAUGUGCCCAGUCCCAGGGACCCCCCAGCCUCCAUGGAGCCCUCGGUGCCUCGGGUGGCCUCAUGGCCCCAUUUCUCAAGAUGAGUUUGGAGGCUUCUGUGUGUAGAGAGCACUGAUUUGGGCAUCAGUGGUUCUGUGUCUGUGUCAGAUGCCAACAAAAAUACUCGUGAAGACAAGUCAGGGCCAUGCUCACUUAGGAGUUGUUGAGGGGCAGGAUUCAGGAAGUCACUGUUUUAAAUGUAUUUUCCAAUUUGAAAUUAACAUAUAUGAGUGUGUGUUUUUGUGUAUUUUAUAGAUAUGUGUGUGUAUAUAUGUACACACACAGUCACACACACACACAGUUUUUUACUCUUUAAAACAGUGGUUUCCAUAAUCUUUUUAUGCUGGAAUGUAUUAAGUGAGAAAUGCAUGUUUUAGCAAAGCAUUAAUGAUUUUUUGAAUGAAAAUGCAUAGACAGGGUUGGUGGGGAUGUUGGAAGGAACAAGUCUUAUUGGGCGAUAACAAUGAUGUGCUCCAGGAAGCGGCACACAUUUAACGUGCAGCUCUUCUGUCUGGAUGGCGUGGAGGGUCUGGGUGGAGGGGCAGGUCACCACCCCACCCUGUGUCAUCAGACCUCCUGCUCCUCCCAGGGCCCGGGGGCAUGGGGCUCUGCCUGUUGAUCCUUGCUCUUUGUGUUUCAGUAUCUGGAGGUCCAGUCCCCUGAAGGCGCCCAUGUGCGUGCCUGGGCUCAGUGCCUCCUGCAGGACAUUUAUAGACACUCUGUGCACAGACAACCCCCUCAGCAGAGAGCAGCACACAGGCCUUGGUGCCCUGUGGGUGGACUCUGGGGAGGCCAGGGGCCCAAGGCCACCUUCUAGGGCCUGAGGAGCCCUCUGAGACCUGCACACCCACCCCAGGGAGCGCCCCUCCCUCCACCUCUGUGCCCCCCCAGUGACUCUCGAACCUCUGUCUGUUUUGCAGAUUCAUCCGGAAGGGCCGCCAGCCAGUGGAUUUCCCGGGCCCCUCAGCCCUCUGGAGUGUACGAGUUUUGGAGAAACCUCUUCCUCUGUAUAUGCUUUUGACUUUCCUGGACUGAUGUAAAAAUACUCUUUUCUUUGACCUGUUUAUUUUUAAGACACGAUGUGAUUGUGUCAGCUUAUAUUUUAUUGCUGAAGUAAAUUUUCAAAUGUUUUAUUA